CAUAACUAAUCAUCUGAUCUGUUACUUAUUAAUGCAACGUGGUUGUUUACGCAAAAAAAGAUGAUUAUAUUGAAGAGAUCUUGUAAAACCAAAACAGACAGACCAUCAUAAACUCACGGGUGGCGAAUUUACGAAUUCAUAAUACACAACAUGGAAGCAAGUAGGCCUCUACUAGAAUAGAAAUGUAUUUUCUAUAUGUAGGCAUACAAAAUACAUGAAAUGUUAGUUAUAUUCACAUCACAAAAUAUUAUGUACCAUUGCAUACACUCUUCAGCACUGUAAGUAUUUUGCCAUGCCAGAAAUUUGUUCCUAGUCAACCCACCUGUUCUUUUGCGUUUUAUGUUUGAUCACCUAUUACAUUAAAAACGACGGUAAAUCGAGAGAUUUUACCCCAACCUCCAUUGGAGAGCCUGUUUUCAUCUUACUAUUAUAACAAGAACCAUAAUCCGGCUGGAUAACUUAUGCUUCUCCGUUCCAGAAAGGAGUUCCAAAUAAAUUGUAUAUCCUUGCAGAGGGUAUUAUAACUUUUUUGUGAAAAGUGCAACGCAUAGAAGGAGACAUCUCCGACCCCAUAAAGUGUAUAUAUUCUUGAUCAGUAUCAACAGCCGAAUCGGGUUUUUUGGCUAACCCUAUAUAGUUUUGCAUGAGAAACCGAUUUCAGGCGGCGAGAAGUAGUUAUAUUGCCUAUGUAAAGUAUUAGGAAUAAAAAUUGUUCGACGAAUAAAAUUAGAUUAUAAUCGA
This is a long non-coding RNA of Drosophila novamexicana, 741 nucleotides long. RefSeq lists it as uncharacterized. Lineage: Eukaryota; Metazoa; Arthropoda; Insecta; Diptera; Drosophilidae. The transcript is spliced from 2 exons. The record is from RefSeq and is a predicted model, not a curated record.